RNAcentral lists this ribosomal RNA (469 nucleotides) under uncultured Cryptanaerobacter sp. Its description in RNAcentral is "bacterial SSU rRNA". It matches the Rfam family "Bacterial small subunit ribosomal RNA", at positions 920 to 1382 of the family's 1533-position model. The record is from RNAcentral. Lineage: Bacteria; Bacillati; Bacillota; Clostridia; Eubacteriales; Desulfotomaculaceae.
CCCGCACAAGCGGUGGAGCAUGUGGUUUAAUUCGACGCAACGCGAAGAACUUACCAGGUCUUGACAUCCCUUGACAGCCUAAGAGAUUAGGUGUUCUAGCUUCGGCUAGACAAGGAGACAGGUGGUGCAUGGUUGUCGUCAGCUCGUGUCGUGAGAUGUUGGGUUAAAGUCCCCGCAACGAGCGCAACCCCUACGUUUAGUUGCUAACGUGUAACGAUGAGCACUCUAGGCGGACUGCCGUUGACAAAACGGAGGAAGGUGGGAUGACGUCAAAUCAUCAUGCCCCUUAUGUUCUGGGCUACACACGUGCUACAAUGGCCGGUACAAAGGGACGCAAAGCCGCGAGGUGGAGCAAAUCCGAUAAAAGCCGGUCUCAGUUCGGAUUGCAGGCUGCAAUUCGCCUGCCAUGAAGUCGGAAUCGCUAGUAAUCGCAGGUCAGCAUACUGCGGUGAAUACGUUCCCGGGCCUU